This 197-nucleotide non-coding RNA is filed under the name Muricomes intestini. The record is from RNAcentral. Lineage: Bacteria; Bacillati; Bacillota; Clostridia; Lachnospirales; Lachnospiraceae.
UAGAACUGAUAAUCCGACAGGUGGAAUGAUGGGGUAACGCCCUGAAGCGCCGCCCUAAUACUCCGAUAUGCAUAGUCAACGCAAUCACGGCUGUGUGUAAAGCUCGGAGAAGUCGGCAGAGAGCAGCCCAAACAGGUCAAGCUGUGGAAAGCUGUCCAGAGGUGGACGGUGCGGCCUAUAUGCCGGGGGUCUACAAA